AUGAGCAAGGCGCUCAGCCCACGAUACCAAGGCCUUUCAACCUAUGAGAAAGAAUACCUCGCUAUAGUUGUCGCGGUGGAUCAAUGGCGCCCCUACCUCCAACAUGCUGAAUUCAUCAUUCUCACUGAUCAGAAGAGCUUGAUUCACCUGGAGGAACAGAGGCUGACCACUCCAUGGCAGCAGAAGGCUUUUACCAAGCUCCUCGGCCUCCGUUACUGA
Molecule: ribosomal RNA, 219 nt
Filed under: Triticum aestivum (bread wheat)
Lineage: Eukaryota; Viridiplantae; Streptophyta; Magnoliopsida; Poales; Poaceae
Description: partial small subunit ribosomal RNA
Source: RNAcentral